Long non-coding RNA from Neltuma alba, 1942 nucleotides. RefSeq lists it as uncharacterized. The transcript has 2 exons. Lineage: Eukaryota; Viridiplantae; Streptophyta; Magnoliopsida; Fabales; Fabaceae. The record is from RefSeq and is a predicted model, not a curated record.
AGGAAACCUCCAUUACUCCUCGUUUAUUAGGAUAACAAUGCUCUUUCUCUCCCUCUCUCAUCUUUUAUUUUCCUCCUUCCACAUGCAUUUCUGCAAGCCUUCUCCUCACUGAUAAUUCAUUUCUUUGCAUCUUUCAGUUUUUGGUUCAAGAAAAAGCACCUAUCUUUUCCUGUCUGUUUGUCUGAUUUCCCCACUUUUGCUAUCUCUUUCGUCUCAUGAUUUUGUUCAUCAAUUUCGUUUUUGAAAAAUUUGGUAAUUUAGGGAAGGGUUGGCAAUAGGAGGUUCGGCUGUCUGACAAACAACGGAGGACCACUUCGUUGUGUCUAUCGACCCCCUUGUAAUUCCUGCAAGUCUGCAAUCACCGCAUGAUGGUGAUGAGGGUUCCAGUUCUCGAAUUGCUGAUAUAUAUCAUAGUGUUAUUCAUGUCGUUGAGGUUGGCGGAUGUGAAACAUCGGACGAUGACCACCUUGUUCAAAGAGUAGAAUGUCGCAUUUGUCAGGAGGAGGAUAGCCUUGAUAAUAUGGACAUUCCCUGUUCUUGUAGGGGCACCAUGAAAGCAUCUUUAAUACCAUAAACCACUUUCUAAAUUCAAUCAUAUGAAACGUUGCCGAAACAUAGCACUGAUAACUAGCAUCUAGUAUAUGGAAAACAUCUUAUCUGAUGAUGCAAUUAAAGUUUUUUUUUUUUUUUUAAAACAUUAGUUGGCACACUGGAGAUGCGUUCAGCUAUGGUGCAAUGAAAAGGGAGACACUAUUUGUGAGAUCUGCCAUCAGGUAACCUCAUUGCAAUAUCAGCAAAAAAAAAAAAAAAAAAGGCAGAUUUCAGCUAACCUUCUGAGAUAUAGUAUGCAGAUUUCAAAUUUCAGUUUGUGGACUGUGAAUUAUGAACUCUGUUUACAAACUCUGUUUGCAAAGAACCUCAAUAUUGGAGCCAAACCUAGAUAAUGAAGAAAAAGAAGUAAACAAUGCAUGCUCAUACUGAGGGUAGAAUAGAAAUAUAAAUAACCAAAGGUUGAUCAUUGGGAGAAAAUUAGCCGUUUGUUCCAAGAAAGGUUAAAGUAGUGUAUUCAAUGGUUGCAUAUUGAGGCCAAAAAAAAGUGGCAUAUUCAUAUUAAAUUACAUAUUCUUAUGGAAAAUUUAAAUUUAUCCACAUCCGUACAAACCGGGUUAUAGCCCCUACAGCCCGAAGUUGCUCCAAAUAAUAUCAGGCAAGUUGAAAAUUCUGUAGUUUGUAUGUUGAUGUCUAGUGUUUUAUUCUUUUAUGAAUUCACCUAUUGUUUUUGCUUGCAUAACACAAACUACAUAUAUGAUUAGCUUAAAUGUAAAGGAGAGUUUUUACUUCUCAGAUAAAAAGGUAUAGAUUUUGUUUACUCUUCCUCUUUUAUGUUAGUCCAGUUUCAUUUUACCUUUCCAGCUGCACCUGCCAUGCAGUAUAUUGUUACCUUUCUGCCUUGCCUAGUCCCAUAAUGGAAUUAUGGAAGUGCAUCACAUGUUAUGAUCACUGCUUGUUAUUUUGCUUCCCUCAUGCUUCUGGGCUAUUAUGCAGGACUGGUUGGACAAUCUCCCGUGGCCCUUUAGAUCUGUACGAUCCUCAAACUUUGGCAAUUGGAGCAUUGGAGCACCAUGUCCUCGAAGCUGAGCAUGAUGACUAUGUUUACAGUAGCACGAGCGUAUAUAACACUUAAACUUCUAAAGCAUGCUGCUUCGCUCUUAAAUACUGAUGGGGAGAAAGCUAUGGCCUAUUUUUCAGUAAGUUGGUGAUCAACGCUUGAUGAGUUUUACUGUCUCCUUUCUAGAGAAUGGUUGGUCUUAUAGUGUGUACUGUUUCCAGUUCACCUUGUGUCGUGCUGUUGCUUUUGUAAUUCCUUUCUAUCUUAUGGCUAGAGCCAUUCGUUUCAUACUGAGUCGAUGGCAAAGACAGGCUAAUACAGAAUCGUUUAAUA